GUUACUGUUAACUGAAUACAUAGGUUAACAGAGCAAACCGGGGGAACUGAAACAUCUAAGUACCCCGAGGAGAAGAAAUCAACCGAGAUUCCGGUAGUAGCGGCGAGCGAACCUGGAUUAGCCCUUAAGCACUCGGUGAAGUAGGUGAACAAGCUGGAAAGCUUGGCGAUACAGGGUGAUAGCCCCGUAACCGACGCUUCAUCGAGCGUGAAAUCGAGUAGGGCGGGACACGUGAUAUCCUGUCUGAAUAUGGGGGGACCAUCCUCCAAGGCUAAAUACUCCUGACUGACCGAUAGUGAACCAGUACCGUGAGGGAAAGGCGAAAAGAACCCCUGUGAGGGGAGUGAAAUAGAACCUGAAACCGUGUACGUACAAGCAGUAGGAGCACCUUCGUGGUGUGACUGCGUACCUUUUGUAUAAUGGGUCAGCGACUUAUAUUCAGUGGCAAGGUUAACCGUAUAGGGGAGCCGUAGCGAAAGCGAGUCUUAACUGGGCGCUCAGUCUCUGGAUAUAGACCCGAAACCGGGUGAUCUAGCCAUGGGCAGGUUGAAGGUUGAGUAACAUCAACUGGAGGACCGAACCGACUAAUGUUGAAAAAUUAGCGGAUGACUUGUGGCUAGGGGUGAAAGGCCAAUCAAACUCGGAGAUAGCUGGUUCUCCCCGAAAGCUAUUUAGGUAGCGCCUCGGACGAAUACUACUGGGGGUAGAGCACUGUUAAGGCUAGGGGGUCAUCCCGACUUACCAACCCUUUGCAAACUCCGAAUACCAGUAAGUACUAUCCGGGAGACACACGGCGGGUGCUAACGUCCGUCGUGGAGAGGGAAACAACCCAGACCGCCAGCUAAGGUCCCAAAGUAUUGCUAAGUGGGAAACGAUGUGGGAAGGCUCAGACAGCUAGGAUGUUGGCUUAGAAGCAGCCAUCAUUUAAAGAAAGCGUAAUAGCUCACUAGUCGAGUCGGCCUGCGCGGAAGAUGUAACGGGGCUAAGCAAUACACCGAAGCUGCGGCAAUAUCUUUUAGAUAUUGGGUAGGGGAGCGUUCUGUAAGCCGUUGAAGGUGAAUCGUAAGGUUUGCUGGAGGUAUCAGAAGUGCGAAUGCUGACAUGAGUAACGACAAAGGGGGUGAAAAACCUCCUCGCCGGAAGACCAAGGGUUCCUGUCCAACGUUAAUCGGGGCAGGGUGAGUCGACCCCUAAGGUGAGGCCGAAAGGCGUAAUCGAUGGGAAACGGGUUAAUAUUCCCGUACUUCUGACUAUUGCGAUGGGGGGACGGAGAAGGCUAGGUGGGCCAGGCGACGGUUGCCCUGGUUCAAGUGCGUAGGCUUGAGAGUUAGGUAAAUCCGGCUCUCUCUAAGGCUGAGACACGACGUCGAGCUGCUACGGCAGUGAAGUCAUUGAUGCCAUGCUUCCAGGAAAAGCCUCUAAGCUUCAGAUAGUCAGGAAUCGUACCCCAAACCGACACAGGUGGUCGGGUAGAGAAUACCAAGGCGCUUGAGAGAACUCGGGUGAAGGAACUAGGCAAAAUGGUACCGUAACUUCGGGAGAAGGUACGCUCUUGAUGGUGAAGUCCCUCGCGGAUGGAGCUGACGAGAGUCGCAGAUACCAGGUGGCUGCAACUGUUUAUUAAAAACACAGCACUGUGCAAAAUCGCAAGAUGACGUAUACGGUGUGACGCCUGCCCGGUGCCGGAAGGUUAAUUGAUGGGGUUAGCGCAAGCGAAGCUCUUGAUCGAAGCCCCGGUAAACGGCGGCCGUAACUAUAACGGUCCUAAGGUAGCGAAAUUCCUUGUCGGGUAAGUUCCGACCUGCACGAAUGGCGUAAUGAUGGCCACGCUGUCUCCACCCGAGACUCAGUGAAAUUGAAAUCGCUGUGAAGAUGCAGUGUACCCGCGGCUAGACGGAAAGACCCCGUGAACCUUUACUACAGCUUGGCACUGAACAUUGAACCUACAUGUGUAGGAUAGGUGGGAGGCUAUGAAGACGUGACGCCAGUUGCGUUGGAGCCGUCCUUGAAAUACCACCCUUGUAUGUUUGAUGUUCUAACUUAGACCCAUUAUCUGGGUUGAGGACAGUGCCUGGUGGGUAGUUUGACUGGGGCGGUCUCCUCCCAAAGAGUAACGGAGGAGCACGAAGGUGGGCUAAUCACGGUUGGACAUCGUGAGGUUAGUGCAAUGGCAUAAGCCCGCUUAACUGCGAGAAUGACGGUUCGAGCAGGUGCGAAAGCAGGUCAUAGUGAUCCGGUGGUUCUGUAUGGAAGGGCCAUCGCUCAACGGAUAAAAGGUACUCCGGGGAUAACAGGCUGAUACCGCCCAAGAGUUCAUAUCGACGGCGGUGUUUGGCACCUCGAUGUCGGCUCAUCACAUCCUGGGGCUGAAGUCGGUCCCAAGGGUAUGGCUGUUCGCCAUUUAAAGUGGUACGCGAGCUGGGUUUAGAACGUCGUGAGACAGUUCGGUCCCUAUCUGCCGUGGGCGUUGGAAGAUUGAAGGGGGCUGCUCCUAGUACGAGAGGACCGGAGUGGACGAACCUCUGGUGUUCGGGUUGUGUCGCCAGACGCAUUGCCCGGUAGCUAAGUUCGGAAUUGAUAAGCGCUGAAAGCAUCUAAGCGCGAAGCGAGCCCUGAGAUGAGUCUUCCC
RNAcentral lists this ribosomal RNA (2629 nucleotides) under Vibrio cholerae. Its description in RNAcentral is "partial 23S ribosomal RNA". It matches the Rfam family "Bacterial large subunit ribosomal RNA". Lineage: Bacteria; Pseudomonadati; Pseudomonadota; Gammaproteobacteria; Vibrionales; Vibrionaceae. The record is from RNAcentral.